Non-coding RNA from Biomphalaria pfeifferi, 541 nucleotides. Lineage: Eukaryota; Metazoa; Mollusca; Gastropoda; Planorbidae. The record is from the annotation of a GenBank genome assembly.
UGACGUCGUGCUUCUCGUCUGAAAGUGAAAAAGGUAUUUGACUUCGUCAUUUCUUCCUUAGGCAAAUAUUUUUACCCCUCCAUGAGUUGGGCGAUUUCAACUAAGUGGUUGUACUUAACGGCAAUAGAAAAUAUUUGGAAAUGUACUGGUUUCAUUAUGACUAUGACUGAAGAAUUGAACUCUUCAAUUUUUCAGUCGUCUUUUAAUUGUACUAGGAGAAAGGCUGACGACCACUUCUUCUAUUUAAGAAAUAUUUCCUGCAUAACGUUUAUCAUUCACUUUCCUAUCAUCCACUUUACACAUUCGUCGUCUAUGCCAAUGUCAGCCAACAGAAAAUACAUGUAGUGACAGCUUCAUUUGUUGGCUUAAAAUUUGCCCUUUAUCGCCUCAUUUAAUUGUAUCUUGUGAAAUAUUCUCGUUGAUCCUCCAAUCACUUUAACUUCAUUUAAUUCUACUGACUGUCCGCAACUGAGUGACUUUGACUAAUUCUCUUUAACUUACUAACUCUCUCUCUCUCUCUCUCUCUCUCUCUCUCUCUCUC